GACGCCGGCGGCGUGCCUAACACAUGCAAGUCAACUUGACUGAAGGAGCAAUCUGACAGUAGAGUGGCGCAAGGGUGCGUAACGCGUAAGUAACUUGCCCAAGGUAAGGAAUAACGUCGAGAAAUCGGCGCUAAUACCUCAUAAUGCAGCGGAUCCGCAUGGAUAUGUUGUUAAAGGUUUACCGCCUUGGGAUAGGCUUGCGUCUGAUUAGUUAGUUGGUGUGGUAACGGCACACCAAGGCUACGAUCAGUAACUGGUCUGAGAGGAUGAUCAGUCACACUGGAACUGAGACACGGUCCAGACUCCUACGGGAGGCAGCAGUGAGGAAUAUUGGGCAAUGCUCGAAAGAGUGACCCAGCAACGCCGCGUGGAGGAUGAAGGUAUUCUAUAUCGUAAACUCCUGUGAGAGCAGACGAAAGACAGAUUAUUAAUCUGGAUGACUGUAUGCUCAGAGGAAGCCCCGGCUAACUACGUG
RNAcentral lists this ribosomal RNA (475 nucleotides) under uncultured bacterium. Its description in RNAcentral is "bacterial SSU rRNA". It matches the Rfam family "Bacterial small subunit ribosomal RNA", at positions 32 to 507 of the family's 1533-position model. The record is from RNAcentral.